Molecule: long non-coding RNA, 1266 nt
Filed under: Fragaria vesca (wild strawberry)
Lineage: Eukaryota; Viridiplantae; Streptophyta; Magnoliopsida; Rosales; Rosaceae
Description: long non-coding RNA (FVES_LNC000928)
Source: RNAcentral
GGAGGGAGGAGGCUAGGGUUCGGAGUUAAACCCGACAACUUUAGCCGACGAAAUAAUUAUUUCGUCGGCUAAAGUCUUAAAUUUCGUCGGCUAUAAACCAAUUCGUCGGCUAAAGUCUUAUAAAUUCGUCGGCUAAAACUUUGAAAUUCGUCGGCUAAAGUCUUAAAUUUCGUCGGCUAAAACUUUGAAAUUCGUCGGCUAAACCUUUGAAAUUCGUCGGCUAAAAGUAUUUGUAUACAUUUGGCAUGUUGUGAUUGUGAUGAUCAAACUUGAGAAACAGAAAUCCGACCGUCAGAUCUGACCAUCAUGAUAAAAUACAUGUAUGGGAAAAAAUUCAACUUGAUCCGAAAAGAAUAAGGGCUCGAUCCGGACGGUCAAUCUCGUAAGUCAAACCCCUAAACGCACGGAAAAGGUCGUUCGACCGUCUAAAUUACGUAUUUUGGCCGGACCUCCAACUGAAAAUAGUUUUAAACCGAUGACACGCAACAAGUCGUAUAAAAAUUUUAAGCAAAAUAACCACCGAAUAUAGGGCUACUCAUAGGGGGAAAAAAUGAAAAAUUGCAUUGACCGCAACUAUCGGCACCGAAUAUUUACCGGAAUAGUGUGAUUUUUCAACCGUGGAUGUAUUUCAACAUUCUCGUCAUAUCUUAUUUCAUGACUUUUUGCCGUUUGAAGGUUUUACGUAUAGUUUGUUUUUGAAACGGAACAUUUACAUAACACUAGGUAAACAAGUUAUAUAACAUUAGUAUGCCUGUUGUGAUUGUGAUGAUCAAACUUGAGAAACAGUCAUCCGACCGUCAGAUCUGACCAUCAUGAUAAAAUACAUGUAUGGGAAAAAAUUCAACCUGAUCCGAAAAGAAUAAGGGCUCGAUCCGGACGGUCAAUCUCAUAAGUCAAACCCCUAAACGCACGGAAAAGGUCGUUCGACCGUCUAAAUUACGUAUUUUGGCCGGACCUCCAACUGAAAAUAGUUUUAAACCGAUGACACGCAACAAGUCGUAUAAAAAUUUUACGCAAAAUAACCACUGAAUAUAGGACUAUAGUAGGUAAUAGAAAAAUUUUAGGGUUUAGCCGACGAAUACCCUAACGUAUUCGUCGGCUAUAGUAUGUAAUUAAAAAUUAAAAAAUAACUAUAGCCGACGAUAUAUUAGGUUAUUCGUCGGCUAUAGUAUUUUAGCCGACGAAUUAUAGUGUAUUUCGUCGGCUAUAGUAUGUAAUUAAAAAAUUAAAAAAUUAAAAAUUAAAAAUAACUAUAGCCGACGAAAU